This 316-nucleotide unclassified non-coding RNA is filed under the name fungal sp. RNAcentral describes it as "partial contains small subunit ribosomal RNA, internal transcribed spacer 1, and 5.8S ribosomal RNA". The stretch from base 1 to 46 matches the Rfam family "Eukaryotic small subunit ribosomal RNA", at positions 1786 to 1831 of the family's 1831-position model. Lineage: Eukaryota; Fungi. The record is from RNAcentral.
AAGUCGUAACAAGGUUUCCGUAGGUGAACCUGCGGAAGGAUCAUUACUGAGUAGCUGAAGGGCCUGGCAGGCGCCGAUGAAGAGUUGGCGUCGCAGGACCGGUUACCCGACCUUGAUGUCAUUUGAUGCUCCGGGCGCGCGGUCCGGGCCGAGCCGUGGAUCGCGGGUGCCGGGGUGGAUAUAACUUCGGCGGAAGAGGCAGGCUAGACCUGCCCGCCGCCGGCGAUAGCCAAACAUUCUUGUGAGAAGGUGAAGUCUGAAGAUAGCAAAAACAAAUGAAAAAGCAAAACUUUCAACAACGGAUCUCUUGGCUCUG